This 1452-nucleotide long non-coding RNA is filed under the name Gadus morhua (Atlantic cod). RNAcentral describes it as "lncRNA (ENSGMOG00000029355.1)". Lineage: Eukaryota; Metazoa; Chordata; Actinopteri; Gadiformes; Gadidae. The record is from RNAcentral.
CAGCAUUAUAGUUGAACUAUGUGCGCAAUGCGUCGCGUUCCUCUGUGUUUGUGCAAAUACCAGAUGUGUAGGGUAUUACAUGAGCGCCAUGUACAUUAGGGAUGGAGUGCAUGCAUUAGGGAUAAGUGAAGUGGAAUAGUGGCCUGGAUUUUACACGAAUCACGCACGCACAUAGUAGCCUAGGAGCCAUUCGGUCGGUACUAGUUACGCGUUCCUCAUCCUUUGGGUCGGAUCUCGGGAGGUGACGUUCUGUUAUUCUUCUGUGAAUCUAAAACUCCGUGACCACGCAGACGCUUCGACGCAGUCAUGAACCUUGCAAAGAGUACCUGAGACACUCAGGGAGUGAACGCGGAUUGGCUAAUACCCCCUCAGAAGCAGUUAUAUAGAAAUUAGAAGAUAAAAAGAAAAUACCGUGUUAUAAUACCGUUAUCGUCUAUGCCUCAAAUCAUACCUUGAUAUAAAUUGUAGUCCAUACUGUACAGCCCUCGUUGUAGCCUACAUCUCAUCGACACAUUGAUUCACGGAGUAAUUUAACUAAACUUUGAAAGAGAUUUGACAACAGAAUCCGAGCCCCAAUCUGUGAGAUUUUGUCAAGAGUCCUAUUUAUAUUAUAAACACUAAAGGGAAACGCACAGUCCUGGUUGAUUGCAACACCAAAGAGCAAGGCAUGUUGGUGUGGCCAGAGAGCUGUCUCAACCACAGUGUUGUCACUGGUUUAAUGGCCUUCCUCCUUUGGGAAGUGCACCCUGUGCUUCAGUCAUUCUUGUGUAGAAUAUAACAAGAAUGGUUAUUGAGCAAUUUGUUGGUCGGACGAUUACAAUAAUGGUGAUUCGAUUAUUUUAUUUAUUCCCUGCAUUUUUUUGACUAAGAUGUAACUAGUAAUCACUAUCAUACAUCUAAUUUUUGUUAAUGAAUGUAGAAAUCAUUCUAAUUAUGUUUUUUUGUCUUUGUUACAGAUUAUUUACAAGAUAGCUUUCCAAAAAAGACAAACAAAGGCACUUUUAAGAGCCAUUCUCUCUCUCUCUCUCUCUCUCACACUUUCUCUCUCUUUCUCACACUCACAGACACACACACACACACACACACACACACACACACACACACACACACACACACACACACACACACACACACACACACAAACACACUCCUGUAUUUUAUCUGUAUUGUGUGUCAAUUGUCCAGCGAUGUUCAAAAACCAGAAGGUUUGUUCUGAUGCCGUUGAGAUCAGGGACCAUAUGGCUUCUGAAAUCAGUAAUGCGCUACUCCUUGAGGCCCGGGCAGCAAUGGGAGACUCCCACUUUCCUCCAAAAAAAAAGAGGAGAAAGAAGAGUGCAGUCAAAAAAAAGAAAGUGGUCACGAGCCGACUUCAGAAACAUCAGAAAUCACCCAGACGUGCAUCAGCUUCCGUGAACCCAGUGAGUGAGGAAGUCCAGCUCGAAGGAAUUGAAU